Molecule: RNA transcript, 6482 nt
Organism: Lagopus muta (rock ptarmigan)
Lineage: Eukaryota; Metazoa; Chordata; Aves; Galliformes; Phasianidae
Gene: SERGEF
Gene name: secretion regulating guanine nucleotide exchange factor
Exons: 13
Source: RefSeq, a predicted model, not a curated record
UUGCUGCUUGUGAGGCGGGAGGAGAGCAGCGCGCUGUGCUGCGGGCAACUGCUGCCGUUCCGUGCCUCGUCCUGAGGGCGCGCGGAGGCCGCACGUGUCGGACCUUCUGAGGAGAGUUAGGUGUCUGCCACGCCAGCCAGCGCCGAGAGCAGCCCCUGCCUGGGAUCGGGGCAAGUUCACCGCCGUGCCGCGUGUGUAAAAGCGUGCCGGCACGUUCUUGUUUUGCCCGCUGUAAAGUAGAAGAAUCACUUAAUGAUGAAUAAGUGCGUCUGCUUUGCUGCUUUAUGUUCCCAGACGAUGCAGCGUGUCGUUCUCACCUCAUUUUGGGUGCAAACAGCUACGGACAACUUGGCCUUGGUCAUAAAGAGGAUGUGCUGGUACCUCAGACACUGAAAGAUGUUUCCUGCAAAUGUCAAGACAUCAGGAGCAUCACUGGAGGAGGAGGACAUUCUGCAGUUAUCACUGGUGCUGGAGAACUCUUUGUAUGUGGCCAUAACAAAGAAGGGCAGUUGGGAUUGAAUCACACAGAAAAUGUGCUCUGUUUCACACUGUGCGCUGCCCUGUCUGGCUUCUGUGUGCAAGAAGUGGCCUGUGGCUGGGAUUUUACAAUCAUACUGGGAGGAGAUGGCCUUGUUCUGUCCUGUGGGUCUAAUGCUUUUGGGCAACUAGGAGUUCCUCAAAUUUCAGGCCCGUGCUUGAUUCCACAAAAGAUCGAGUCCCUCAAAGAGAAAGUAGUGGGUAUUGCUGCAGGACUGAGACAUGCCCUUGCUGCUACAGAGAGUGGUUUGGUGUUUCAGUGGGGAACUGGCAUGGCAUCUCGGGCAAGGCGUGCACACCAGGGGAAAAGCCUCCCUCUGUUCUGGACUGCAAAGGAACCCUGUGAAAUAAAAGGCCUGGAAGAUGUGAAGGCGAAGAGAGUUGCCGCAGGCUCCUACCAUUGUGUGUCUCUUACAGGUGAAGGACACCUCUAUGUCUGGGGUAGCAACAAACAUGGGCAGCUGGUGAGCAAAGAGAUAUUUCUUGUUGAGCCCAAGAAGAUCGACACUCAGUUUUUCUCACAUGAAAAGAUUGGAGCAGUUUGGAGUGGUUGGACUCACUUGGUGGCGCAGACAGAAACUGGGAAGGUAUUCACCUGGGGCAGAGCAGACUACGGACAGCUUGGAAGACAUGCAGUGGUUCCUGAUGGGCAGGAGACGUGCACAGCAUCUGAACAAUCUGUGAAGCUGUUUUGUAACAUUCCUAUUUCCUUGUCUUGCCUAAAUGGAGCAUCUCAGAUCGCAUGUGGCUCUGAGCAUAAUCUGGCAGUAGUUGAUAAGGAAGCACCGUUUCACUUUCACGCUGCUGCUCACCUUGCUGUCUGUAACUUCUGCCUUCCUGGUUUACACUGUGUACACAGUGGCUGUUGCUUCUCUUGGGGAUGGAACGAACAUGGGAUGUGUGGUGACGGCACAGAAGCAAACAUUCAUGUACCAAAGCCAGUGAAAGCUGUUGGUUACGCAGAACAGAUCUUAAUUGGAUGUGGGGCAGGACACUCCUUGGCUCUUUGUCAAAACUCCACGUUAGACUCAGGACACCAGAAAUCUUAGCAACAUGGAUGUGGAUGGACGUCGUUGGGUUGCGUAGCUCAGAAGUUCUUCAAGAAGAUUGCCUGAGAUUAACAUGGCAGCUGGAAAGUGUGGAAGUUUGUUCCCAAACUAUAAGAAAAGAGCGUGCUUAGAACAGCAUGGGAAAAAUAAAAAUCAAACAGUUAUUUUAAAAAAUUAUGUCAUGGGUUCUUUGUACAGGAAUUGACUUUCUUACCCACAGAUAGAAUGAUGUUUUGCCUUGACGCAAUAUUGAAGAAAGAAUGACUUUUUAAGAAGUCUUUGAGGAGGAAACUGCCUGUCUAAUCACUUAUCAUUAGUGUAAAAAUUCAGUCUAAAGUAAAAAAAAGAUUGAGGAAACAGUGUGAGAAGGUGGAAACAUGGGGCCAGCUCUGGUCUUUUAUUAUUGUAUCUGUAUGUCACGAUGAGCAUGUGUUGCACCUGCCAGCUUUUAUUGAAGUUUUGAACUCCCAGCAUCUUAAGAAAUCCAGUUGAAAAGAGAAAUGCCAGUGAACAUAAAUAGAGGCAUAUGCACAUUUUAAACAGAAGAUCAGAAUUUUGAAAAAGUAGAUAUGAUUUAGAAGACUGGCAAAAGGAGAAAAUGAGGCCCUUCUGAAAUAAGCUACGUGUUGAUUAAACUGAGAGGAACAGCGUUUCUGAGGAAUUAUCUUCUGUGCCAGACAUCCAUUCAAUAUAUAUUCACAGGGCUGCAGAUCCACACAAAUUAUUAUUAACUUGAAAAUUAAACCUAAAGUUCUUGAAGCUACUGAUAGGAAAGAGAAUCUUCUGAGAGCCCUUGGAAACAACAGAAGAGGUCUUGUCAAAGAGCGUAAGUCAGUUGUAGCUGCUGAGGACAGUUUGAUCCAACAUAGCUGAUGUAUUUGUAGCUGCAGCUGAAUAGGAAGGCUUCCAAAUACAAACAGAAACUUUUUACAAGUUCUCUAGCUUAAAAGGCAGACCAGAAUGCUCCUGGUAGCGUCAGCUCUCACAUCAGCUUGGCAGUCCAUCUGAGAUUCUGAUCAGAGAGUGCCCACAAUACUAGCCCCAGAACACUUUAAAAAGAGGCAACAUGGUAGAAACAGGAGAUGAGGCACAAAAAAUUGACAAGUCCCAGCCAAGGUAACUCAGCAUGUCUACAGCAGAACCAAGAAUAAAAUUCCAGUCUUAUGAUGCCCAGGCCAGGGCUCUGCUUCAGGCCAGCGGUCCUUGAAGUCUAUAGGUCAGCCUCGUGCUCCUACUUAUCUCCUUGCUUUCUUCAUCCUCCCCACUACCCCCACGGCUGGUUCUUCACAUACUCCCAACCCUGCUGUUUGCUCACCCCACUCUUUAGACCAGUCCUGUGUCCUUCUAUUCUCCCUGCACCACUAUCUUCCUGCCAUCCCUUCCUCUUUCCAUAGCUGUUGGUGUCACAUUGGCACAGCUGAGCUGCAUGCCUGCAGCCAUGUGUGCCCUCAGCGGUAACUGUGCCAAUAUGACAGCAACGCUCUGCCUGUGGCUGACUGACAAACCCCAUGGCGAGCAGUAGAGAAGCCAGUAAAGCCUUGGAGCACAUGCUCUUUGUAUGGAGAUGUUUGGGCCCUAAGUACUUGCAUACAGUUUUGGGAGAGUUGAGGUCUGGAAGCCUGGCCUGCUCAGCCAGGGCCAGGAAACUCAUCUUCCUGUGUUUUAUGUGAUAAGCAAAGCAAGUCAAGAGCUACAGUUCCUGGAUGUACUUUGUAAUUUGAGGCUGAACUUUAAUUUAAAUAUCGCUCUUGAUCACAAACAAGCAUUCAUAUUCCCAUGAAAGAGAAAGGGUGCACCUACACUCCUAGAUGAGUGCAGAAGCUUUGGGGCUUCUGAACAGACAGGUGUUUUAUGCCCAAACUCAAAUAAAUGAGUGACUUAAAAAUAACCUACGUAAUUGAAGCACAUCUUCACGAAAUGAAGUUAGUUUCUGGGAGUGCAGAGGCAAAGUUGUUCUCAGCGUAUAAAUGGAAAGCAGAGCGGGGUGCUGCUGCGCUUUGAAACCACGCAGAGGAUAUGCAAAGUGGCAGGCUAAUAACUCUGCUUGGGAUUGCCUCAGGAUAUCUUUCAUAAGCGGCUCAGAUCUCAGUUUCCUUGUGAGCGUCCUUGCCUUAGUCCUGCUCGCUCUCUGUUGUAUUUCAUUCUUCUCAUUUGUCCUAGCAGACAUUUGUUUCAGUGAUGUAUUUUCUUCUUGGACCUGAAACUUUAGGGAGAAAGAAGGCAAUUUAUGUGAAGAAUCACUUUAUCCAGAUUAAUGACUGCUGCACGUGACUGUUACCACUGUGGUAGUAGCUGGGUUCUUUGUUGGAGUCGGGGAGCAGAAACCACUCUUCAGGUCCAUGCUGUCUAAAGUGGCAGCUGUGGAGAGUGCUUUGCACAGCUGGGUUGCCCAGGAAAAGAAGGGCACAGGGCUGCACAUGUUUGGGGUGAGCUGCCUGUGAUAGACAGCAGCCCAUGUUGAGUGCCAGUUGGAGGAAGCAGUAGUAUUGAGGCAGGCUCAGCUGGUUGGCUGUCCAUUGCUGGGAGAUGAGGUUCCAGGGGAAGAAACCCGGAUGUUCACUUUCAGCAGGAAAGGGGCAGAGUUCAGCUCAGCUGCUGACUGUGCUACUGUUUUUACCUUGGCUGACAUUAGAAGCAUUUGGUGGCAUUAUUGCAAGUGUGAGGCCAGAAUUCAGCCACGCAUCUUAAUUCUUUUAUUAAAAUAUAUACCCCCUGUGAUGGGAGUGAGCAUGUUUGAAGAGUUUAAUGUUCUAAUAACCCAGAAAACCUCUUUGAAUGUAAAGCAGCUUGUAUGCUGUGUUAAGUUUCUCACUAAACUCAGUGUCAGGAUUUGGUGCAGCAGAUCCUACUGAAUGUAGGAUUAUACAUCAACUAUACAUCAACUUUCCAGUUGUUGGUGCUGCUUCUAUAGUGCAAGGGGAAGCAGUAGGGUCUUAAGCUGCAGAGCAUCACUUGAGGAGCACCAGGUAGGAAGUGCCAUUGAGUUUCUGAAGGGUUUACAGGGAGUGCCUGAAGGCACAGAUACCUUGAAUUAGAAAAAGGAAUACUGAAAGGAAAAUGGGGCUGGUAGAUGUGGUAGCGCAAAAAGUAGCGCAGAAUUACAGUUGCCUUAGGCCACGUGUACCCAACCUGUUCAUUAUAGCUAAAGCUCAUAUAUAUGCAAAGCACUGCAGAAGGGGAAGACCUAUGUGGGAUUUACAAGGCUGAAUUGUUCAUGUUCCUUAUUAUGGUAAUGGAGCAGUCUUCACACAAGGCCCUUGAGUUCUAGCAUUAAAUAAAAAAUGUGGGAAAUCUAUUUCUGUCUUCUUAAUAUGCUAUAAGAGGGAAAGUUGUUCAUUAGACAACUUUUGGAUCCUGGAUUAACCUGGAUCUUGUCUCUGAAGGUAAGAAAAUUGUCCGUUCAUUGGCUGUGAAAAACAGCUUAACGACAGUAGGAGAAAAAUACUUCUUAGGAGAGGGGAUAGUUGACUGAAGUAGAAAUUGAGUACGUACUGUUAGAAAGCUUCUUUGCAGUCCUUCAUCUAAUUAUGUUCUAGUUCACAUCAUCAGCCUUUCUCCUGUUCCUAAAACACAGCUGGAGGUCUCCUUCAUUCUUCUUUUGUAGCAGUUUUAUGAAGACAAAGUCCAGCUGCAGUUGGUUUUUGUUGUUGUUGCUUAUGGUUCAGCACUUACCGGAGCCAUGAGAGUUUCUUGUGUUUUUAUUUCAUUUUAAUCUCUACUUUCUCCAAGCUUUAGGGACGCUGUUCCAUUUUCAUUCACUUCCGCAGCCCCAGGUGUCAUAGCUUCUGUCUGAAAGGUUUCUAACUCUUUCAAAGAGCUUCAUGUGAGGAUAAAGAUGGAUGUAUCCUUCCUUCAAGAAAGUGCUUCUCCAAAAUGUUGUUGACGCAUAGUCCAUAGCUGCCAUUUCCAGGAUCUAAAGUGAAACCCAAUCCUAUUGUGUUUCUUGGUUCUUACUGCUGCAUGUUUUGUGUAGCAAAUAAAGCACUACUUGGGCACCUGGAUUUCUUUCAGGGUUUUGUAUCAGGUGGACUGCUGUGGCUCAAUAAAGAACAAGGGAAGGAUGAGGUCCAAGAAAGUAAGAAACUGAAUUCAUUUCAUCAGCUAAAAAGACAAACUUUUAUUAUUCUUGGGGAGGGAAAAGGAAGAUACCUAGAUAAUUAUAGAGCUUUUUAAUCUUUCCUCAUAAAAUUACUAAUGAUGUGGAUUCUUCAGACAUUGGUUGUAUCAAGUGUUUGCAGGCUUCAUUUAUUAUCUACUAACCCAAGUUAGCGUUUUAGAACCAAAGCAAUACCAAGCUUUUCUCCUACAGUUCUGUUGAGAACACUGUAUUUAUUCAAGGUUUUAGAAGCAAGUCUCUGGAAACCCCUGAUCACUUCUGAAAAGGAUUCCCUUUAACACUAUACAGCAGGCACUGAAACCAUGAUACAAAAUUUAUUUCAUGCUAGAAUUGUUUUGCAUAACAUUGUGCAUGCAUUUUUACUCAGUACUAAAUUGCAUACAAUGCUGUUGUCUUGUUUCUUAAACUUUGAGACAAUUUAUACUUGAGUAUUUUCCUGAUUUUUGUACUAUAAGUCCCAGUUUUAAAAUAACACCUUUUUCUUUUUAAAAAUUCAUACUGAUUACUUAAUAUGAACAAUUUAUGAAGGGUCUUUACGUUGGAUCUAUACAUCAAUAAAAUACAACAUAACCAGAGCUGGAAAAUUAAAUCUAGACCAGCUGUUACUGUCAGGUCCGAAGGAAGAUCCCAUGUGUCACAAGCAUGCCAACAAAAACAGACAGAAAAUAGUUUCUUAUUUUUAUACACAUCUAGGAUUAAAAGUUCUUGAUUUCCAUGUCGGUGUGAUGAUCUGUGAAGGCGUGGUCAAUAUGACCCAUGACUGCCUGAUUGCACUUUUU